RNAcentral lists this long non-coding RNA (899 nucleotides) under Panax ginseng (ginseng). RNAcentral describes it as "long non-coding RNA (PGIN_LNC018797)". Lineage: Eukaryota; Viridiplantae; Streptophyta; Magnoliopsida; Apiales; Araliaceae. The record is from RNAcentral.
UACAACAUUUAAAUAAUAAUAAUAAAAAAAGUGUAAAUCAAAUAUGAUAACAGAAUAAAAAGAUUUACUACAUAACAAAUCUACGAGGCUUUUUUUUGUUGUUGUUGAUUUUAUACUUUUAUCUUUUUACUCUUACACUUCUGGGUAGGCUAGAAGGUGCAAAUGGAUUUCAACAGCAUGCUCAAAUUAGCAACAUGAGGACCAGAAAGGAAGAAAACAGCAGACAAGUUGUGUACUGCUUGACAUACAUACCUGCAACACAUGGAAAUAUGACAAAAUUUUAGUUGCCUUCUUUAGGAGGGGAAAUUAAGCAGGCCAAGACAUCUAAAGAAAAAUACUUUAUAAAAGUUUUGAUUCUUUUAACCUAACCUAGUUUCUCCCACUGGAAUUCUUUGAAAAACUUUGGUGGGAAUUAGUACCUCCCAAAGGGUAUGGGAGUUAUGCUACAUGAUUGCAGCCUCACUCUUACAAGGUAUCAAUCGGUUUAAGUACACUUGGACAUGAUUCCCAUAAGUUCCUCCACAUUAUCCCUAUUAUGUAUUGUAAAAGAACAAGAAAGUAACAUAUAUGGUCCCCAAAUAGGACUAUCUCCUCUUAAUAAUUCAAAUAAAAUUGUCCACUUACCACUUUCUGCAGAUGUUGCCUUAGGGAGCGCAGGGAUUUGGAUAGCUGCAUGUACAUUUUGUGCAGGAACAAAUCAGUUUCAACAUAAAAUUGGAACAAAAUGAAAGGGGGAGUGGAGUAAGGCAGAUAUACUGCAACAACAGCUAUAUAUACCAACUGUUUUAGAUUGGAAGAAAAGAUGGUCUGAAAAAGAAGAAGGAAAAUACUAUAACAUUUGAAGCAUACUUUGAUUGCAUGAAGAAGCAGGUACAAAGGAAGUAGAGGGCCAAGAGGNN